Molecule: ribosomal RNA, 672 nt
Filed under: Vibrio sp.
Lineage: Bacteria; Pseudomonadati; Pseudomonadota; Gammaproteobacteria; Vibrionales; Vibrionaceae
Description: bacterial SSU rRNA
Rfam family: Bacterial small subunit ribosomal RNA
Source: RNAcentral
GAUAACGGCGUCGAGCGGCGGACGGGUGAGUAAUGCCUAGGAAAUUGCCCUGGUGUGGGGGAUAACCAUUGGAAACGAUGGCUAAUACCGCAUAAUACCUUCGGGUCAAAGAGGGGGACCUUCGGGCCUCUCGCGUCAGGAUAUGCCUAGGUGGGAUUAGCUAGUUGGUGAGGUAAUGGCUCACCAAGGCGACGAUCCCUAGCUGGUCUGAGAGGAUGAUCAGCCACACUGGAACUGAGACACGGUCCAGACUCCUACGGGAGGCAGCAGUGGGGAAUAUUGCACAAUGGGCGCAAGCCUGAUGCAGCCAUGCCGCGUGUGUGAAGAAGGCCUUCGGGUUGUAAAGCACUUUCAGUCGUGAGGAAGGUGGUGGUGUUAAUAGCUCUAUCAUUUGACGUUAGCGACAGAAGAAGCACCGGCUAACUCCGUGCCAGCAGCCGCGGUAAUACGGAGGGUGCGAGCGUUAAUCGGAAUUACUGGGCGUAAAGCGCAUGCAGGUGGUUUGUUAAGUCAGAUGUGAAAGCCCGGGGCUCAACCUCGGAAUAGCAUUUGAAACUGGCAGACUAGAGUACUGUAGAGGGGGGUAGAAUUUCAGGUGUAGCGGUGAAAUGCGUAGAGAUCUGAAGGAAUACCGGUGGCGAAGGCGGCCCCCUGGACAGAUACUGACACUCA